Non-coding RNA from Acanthosepion pharaonis, 99 nucleotides. The record is from the annotation of a GenBank genome assembly. Lineage: Eukaryota; Metazoa; Mollusca; Cephalopoda; Sepiida; Sepiidae.
AUUGAAACACCAGUUCUCAUUCAAUCACCUAAGUUAAGCAACAUUGAGCCUGUUUAGUACUAAAAUGAGUGACCGCGGAGGAAUACCAGGUGCUGUAAG